This 21-nucleotide microRNA is filed under the name Fragaria vesca subsp. vesca. RNAcentral describes it as "fve-miR11292". Lineage: Eukaryota; Viridiplantae; Streptophyta; Magnoliopsida; Rosales; Rosaceae. The record is from miRBase by way of RNAcentral.
UUGUAGUUCAGCGCCUCCGCC